Homo sapiens (human) is the source of this 1007-nucleotide RNA transcript. It is a transcript of the gene named tripartite motif-containing 51H, pseudogene, with no coding region annotated. NCBI's taxonomy places the organism in Eukaryota, Metazoa, Chordata, Mammalia, Primates, Hominidae. The record is from RefSeq and is marked validated. The transcript is spliced from 5 exons.
UCACCUGUCCCAUCUGCAUGAACUACUUCCUAGACCCAGUCACCAUAGACUGUGGGCACAGCUUUUGCCGGCCCUGUUUCUACCUCAACUGGCAAGACAUGGCAGUUGUUGCUCAGUGCUCUAAAUGCAAGGAGACAACAUGGCAGAGAAACCUCAACACUGACAUUUGUUUGAAGAACAUGGCUUCCAUUGCCAGAAAAGCCAGCCUCCGGCAAUUCCUUAGCUCUGAAGAGCAAAUAUGUGGGAUGCACAGAGAGACAAAGAAGAUGUUCUGUGAAGUGGACAAGAGCCUGCUCUGUUUGCUGUAUUCCAACUCUCAGGAGCACCGGAAUCACAGACACUGUCCCAUUGAGUGGGCUGCUGAGGAACGCCGGGAGGAGCUCCUAAAAAAAAAUGCAGUCUUUGUGGGAAAAAGCUUGUGAAAAUCUCAGAAACCUGAACAUGGAAACCACCAGAACAAGAUGCUGGAAGGAUUAUGUGAGUUUAAGGAUAGAAGCAAUCAGAGCUGAAUAUCAGAAGAUGCCUGCAUUUCUCCAUGAAGAAAAACAACAACAUUUGGAGAGGCUGUGAAAGGAGGGCGAGGACAUUUUUCAGCAACUCAAUGAAAGCAAAGCCAGAAUGGAACAUUCCAGGGAGCUUUUAAGAGGAAUGUAUGAGGAUCUGAAGAAAAUGUGCCAUAAAGCAGAUGUGGAGCUACUCUAGUACGAACUGACCAUGGGGUAUCAUGAUGAUGAAGAUUCACGUGCAUGGGUGUUUUUCCUCUCUCCUGAAAUCCGUCUCCCCCUUUACUUCCAUGAUUUGUUUCCAAAAACACGAUUUGAUAACUAAUGCUACUUGGUUGGGAGGGUAUAGCCUCUCCUAGUGAUUCUACCAGAACGAAGGUCCCUCCUACUUUAUCCACCAGCAACAAAACUUUGUGGAAUGACCAAGUCUUUUGGAGACAUAUUACAAAGGUAUGAGUCUCUGCUGCUGCAAGUGUCUGAGCCUGUGAAUCCAGAUUUCAGUGC